This 71-nucleotide transfer RNA is filed under the name Acidithiobacillus caldus ATCC 51756. Its description in RNAcentral is "tRNA-Gln". It matches the Rfam family "tRNA". From Rfam's summary of the family: Transfer RNA (tRNA) molecules are approximately 80 nucleotides in length. Their secondary structure includes four short double-helical elements and three loops (D, anti-codon, and T loops). Further hydrogen bonds mediate the characteristic L-shaped molecular structure. tRNAs have two regions of fundamental functional importance: the anti-codon, which is responsible for specific mRNA codon recognition, and the 3' end, to which the tRNAs corresponding amino acid is attached (by aminoacyl-tRNA synthetases). tRNAs cope with the degeneracy of the genetic code in two manners: having more than one tRNA (with a specific anti-codon) for a particular amino acid; and 'wobble' base-pairing, i.e. permitting non-standard base-pairing at the 3rd anti-codon position. The record is from RNAcentral. Lineage: Bacteria; Pseudomonadati; Pseudomonadota; Acidithiobacillia; Acidithiobacillales; Acidithiobacillaceae. RNAcentral also lists the same sequence under 3 other names.
UGGGGGAUCGUCUAGCGGUAGGACAGCGGACUCUGACUCCGCUAACCGUGGUUCGAAUCCACGUCCCCCAG